Molecule: ribosomal RNA, 305 nt
Filed under: uncultured bacterium
Lineage: Bacteria
Description: bacterial SSU rRNA
Rfam family: Bacterial small subunit ribosomal RNA
Source: RNAcentral
UUUCCUACGGGAGGCAGCAGUGAGGAAUAUUGGUCAAUGGGCGAGAGCCUGAACCAGCCAAGUCGCGUGAGGGAGUACUGCCCUAUGGGUUGUAAACCUCUUUUGUCGGGGAGCAAAAGCCGGACGUGUCCGGCUGUGAGAGUACCCGAAGAAAAAGCAUCGGCUAACUCCGUGCCAGCAGCCGCGGUAAUACGGAGGAUGCGAGCGUUAUCCGGAUUUAUUGGGUUUAAAGGGUGCGUAGGCGGAAUGCCAAGUCAGCGGUAAAAUCGCGGGGCUCAACCUCGCUCCGCCGCUGAAACUGGCGU